Molecule: ribosomal RNA, 393 nt
Filed under: uncultured bacterium
Lineage: Bacteria
Description: bacterial SSU rRNA
Rfam family: Bacterial small subunit ribosomal RNA
Source: RNAcentral
GAUGAACGCUAGCGGCAGGCUUAAUACAUGCAAGUCGAGGGGCAGCAGUCCCGCAGCAAUGCGGGAGCUGGCGACCGGCAAACGGGUGCGGAACACGUACAGAACCUUCCUUCGAGCGGGGAAUAGCCCAGAGAAAUUUGGAUUAAUACCCCAUAGCAUUACGAAGUGGCAUCACUUUGUAAUUAAAGAUUUAUCACUCGAAGAUGGCUGUGCGGCUGAUAGGUAGUUGGCGGAGUAACGGCCCACCAAGCCUUCGAUCAGUAACUGGUGUGAGAGCACGACCAGUCACACGGGCACUGAGACACGGGCCCGACUCCUACGGGAGGCAGCAGUAAGGAAUAUUGGUCAAUGGACGAAAGUCUGAACCAGCCAUGCCGCGUGGAGGAUGAAGGU